This 422-nucleotide ribosomal RNA is filed under the name uncultured bacterium. RNAcentral's name for it is "bacterial SSU rRNA". It matches the Rfam family "Bacterial small subunit ribosomal RNA", at positions 355 to 774 of the family's 1533-position model. The record is from RNAcentral.
UAAGGAAUAUUGGUCAAUGGAGGCAACUCUGAACCAGCCAUGCCGCGUGAAGGAUUAAGGCCCUCUGGGUUGUAAACUUCUUUUAUAUGGGAAGAAAUGUUCUGAUUCUUCAGAGCUUGACGGUACCAUAGGAAUAAGCACCGGCUAACUCCGUGCCAGCAGCCGCGGUAAUACGGAGGGUGCAAGCGUUAUACGGAUUCACUGGGUUUUAAGGGUGCGUAGGUGGGUUGCCAAGUCCGUGGUGAAAUCUCUGAGCUUAACUCAGAAACUGCCGUGGAUACUGGUGAUCUUGAAUAUCGUUGAGGUAAGCGGAAUAUGUCAUGUAGCGGUGAAAUGCUUAGAUAUGACAUAGAACACCGAUAGCGGAGGCAGCUUACUAAGCGAUCAUUGACGCUGAGGCACGAAAGCGUGGGGAGCAAACA